RNAcentral lists this long non-coding RNA (2442 nucleotides) under Fragaria vesca (wild strawberry). Its description in RNAcentral is "long non-coding RNA (FVES_LNC002044)". The record is from RNAcentral. Lineage: Eukaryota; Viridiplantae; Streptophyta; Magnoliopsida; Rosales; Rosaceae.
ACUUCUAAUCGGUACUUAGAAGUUAUCACCACUUGCUAAGGAAGAUACUUCUUCUUCUUUUGCAAGACCACCGUACUAUAUAUUUAGAGCUAAAAGACUUCUUGAAGUGUCAUAAAGGGUAGGGAAAUGAUGGCAUAUGCUAGAGUAAAUGAUGCUUAAAGCAUGGUGAUGAAGCCUACUAACAUAGCAUGUUUUUGUUGGAGAUUAUGAAGGACUAAUGGGCAAAAGGAUCAAUGAGCAUGGUGUGGAAAAAAAAUGGAAAUUGAUGGAGUUGUUUUUGAACCAAAAUGUUUGGGAUUUGGUUAUAAUGGAAUGAUGGUGAAUGAAUUAAUAAAAUGAGUGGAAAGUCACACCGUCUUCUUGCUCCUCUAUACAUAUGGCUAGAAAAGACAUGGCACCACCGUGAGUGGUGGUGUGCCCCCGCUACUUGUGCCACCAAUAGUGGUGGUUCGCCGAAAUCUGUAAAUUUACGUUCUGCUCCACAUUAGAUCGUCAUUCAUUUUAGCUCCAAUUCUCCAUAUUAAUGCCAAAAAUAAAUGUUUCUUUCACUCUUACAAUAUUCUAGAUAUAUAAAAAAGAAUUAAAUUCAGUUUACCCCCAUGAAGUUUGGGAGUAACUUCAUGUUAGUUCCUAUACUUUCAAUUUCAUCAGUUUACCCCUCAAACUUUUGAAUUUUCCUCAAGCGUGACCAAAUGUCCUAUAUUCUGUCCAAAUCGGACGUUAACUACUGAUAAUUUUAACCUUAACUGUGAGGCCAGUAUCUAGAAUUUGGGCAAAUCGGACCUUAUAUGUCCAAAUCGAACCUUAACUGCUGAUAAUUAAAAGUCAAUUCAAACGGAAUAUGAGAAUUUGGGCACGGCAGACAGAAAUUGAAGAGUUCAAGGGGUAAACUGAUGAAAAUAAAAGUGUAGGGACUAACAUGAAGUCACCCCCNNNNNNNNNNNNNNNNNNNNAGUGAAAAUUUUGUGGAAACUGCAAAUUCAAUAGAAGAAAAAAAAUUCACUGAAACUAAACCAGCACAAUGUAUCUAAAAAUGUAAUGCUGAAUCAUAUCAGAUUUUCAGCAUUAGAAGUUCUUUGAGGAUAGUACUGACCUCUUUCUCUGUCCAGCAUCUUGAAGAUCUGGUUGGACCAGUGGUUCUCCUAGAACAAUUCAAAUGAGCAAUUAUCAUAUGAAAGCAUAAAACUGAGCGAGCCAUCCAAAACCAGAAAAUUGAAGAUUAUAGAAAAUAGAAUUAAAUUCAGUUUACCCCCAUAAAGUUUGGGAGUAACUUCAUGUUAAUCCCUAUACUUUCAAUUUCAUCAGUUUACCCUCUAAACUUUUGAAUUUUCCUCAAGCGUGACCAAAUGUCCUAUAUUCUGUCCAAAUCGGACGUUAACUACUGAUAAUUUUAACCUUAACUGUGAGGCCAGUAUCUAGAAUUUGGGCAAAUCGGACCUUAUAUGUCCAAAUCGAACCUUAACUGCUGAUAAUUAAAAGUCAAUUCAAACGGAAUAUGAGAAUUUGGGCACGGCAGACAGAAAUUGAAGAGUUCAAGGGGUAAACUGAUGAAAAUAAAAGUGUAGGGACUAACAUGAAGUCACCCCCAAACCACAAGGGGGUAAACUGAAUUUAAUUAUAUAAAAAAUGAUUUAAUGAAAGCUAAAAUAAACUCAAAAACAAGUUAAAGUCAAUAUAUAAGGGAAUGCAAAUAUAUGUAAAUUAUGAUCUAACACACCAACAAAUCAAACAACAUGAAUUCAAUUAAGAAGCUCAAAACCGAAACACCGAAAAUUUGGAACUCAAAACCGCAAAGGCACGAAGCAACAUCAAAAUUCAGAGAAACUAAAUCCAUAUCAAAUCUCAAAACCUAGACUAAUCAAAGCUAAUUAAAAUGGAGUACAAAUAUAGAAACACCCGGACAAACUAAAUUCACAGCUACUAUCAGAAAUCAUUCGAAUAAAAUCACAAACUAGACUAUCAGAGAAAAGGAAUAUAUUAGGAUACCUCAUUGGCGGGUAAAUUUAGUAACAACAAAAAUUUAGAGGGUAAAUCCAUACAUCCCUCAUAGUUCAGGGGCAAAAUACAAAAUCACAAUUUCUAGUUUCUAAAUUUGAGUAAUUAUUCCCUAUACUCGGGACACCACGUGACAUUGUCAUAUAAUGUACUCAGCCAAUUAUAUAACUCAGAUUCAUGUGAGGGCAAACAGAGGUGGAAAAAAAAAAGUAAUUAAAUACACCAAUCAGAAGUAAAAAUAAAACACUUGGACCAAAGGGAAACAUAAAACAUGUGGUAUUCCGGAUACAAAUAAUAAUAGGGAUGUGAAAUCCACACACCACACCUCAAAUUGAAAUCCACACACCAUUUUUCUUUUUUUGAUUAACACAUUCACUUAAAAAAAAAAAUUUAAGUCACUAAAAGACAAAAUUUAAAUUUCGGGUGUGUGAAUUUCACGACCGUAAU